This is a long non-coding RNA of Lolium perenne, 1022 nucleotides long. RefSeq lists it as uncharacterized. NCBI's taxonomy places the organism in Eukaryota, Viridiplantae, Streptophyta, Magnoliopsida, Poales, Poaceae. The record is from RefSeq and is a predicted model, not a curated record.
GGUGCUCCUUUUAUCGAAUCCCUAUCAGACCAUCCGUUUCAUAAGCCUACGUCAUAACACGUUGUGUAUAAUUUUGUAUAGACAGCCUGAUGAAAUACAGAGCCUGGAUAGCCCCAACCACCUCACUCGUAUGCAUCAUAGAACAUGGAGGUCGAAAAGCAGUCAGGCCCAUUCUAUUUCCUCUUCUCUCUCAACUCUAAUCCCGUGUCGAAGCGCAUCUCGAUCCCCACCGGCCACCGCCUCCGCUCUGGCCGGCCCCGCCGCGACUCCCCGACCGACGGCGCCACCAGCCGCCGCCGCCCUGACGAGGUCGCGGUUGCUAUCGGCGUCUCCCUGCUAGGCCCUCUCCCCGCGGCCAGAGGAGCUCGUGGUUGUGCGCGUGAGGCUCGCUCGGUCCGUGCCCAUGGCUGUGGUGCGCGCCCCCACGUCGUCCGCAUCAGGUGCUAACAGGGACGGAGCAGGUCGGCGCUGCUGUCUUGGAUAACCUGACCCCAUUCCAGUAGAGGUGACACCAUAGCACUCUUUGUGGAGCUUCGUCCCUGGCUGCUAGGCGAAUAAUGCAGAUCAACAUCACAGAAUGCAUCAUGGCAUGGAUUUCUCAUUUGAGCUGUCAUCUUGAACCAUAAUUUGCGGUAGAUGUGGUGGCAGUAAUGAAUUACUCAAAUAUUGCAUCUAUCCCAAACCAAUUUGUCAAACAGGGGUUUACCGUAAACUCUUGCUGGCUGGAUAAUAUUGAUAACCACGGAUGAAUGAUAUUACACAAAGUAAUGAUGAUGCAAGGGAGCGCAUCCAGUUUUGCUGAAGAUCGCCUCCACGCUGCUAACAUUGAACUUACCAUGUUGGAUUAAGCAAUGCUGCCACACUUGUGUAGAUGCCCGAACAUGUAAAUUAUGUCUAAAUCCAUUAGUAGUAUAUCAAAACUCCAAGAUCCCCAGAGCCUGCAAUCUUUACGUUCACUGCUGGACAAUCUCAUCUAAAUCAAAGACAUCCAUGUUCAACUGUUUUACAUUUUAUUCUGCUAA